GAUUGUUCUCUCUUGUCUCCCUGAAGAAACGCAUUCUAAAGGGACGCCACGUGUGAGCCGUGCACAAGUCAGUCCACGCACCUCCUCAGCGGUCAUUUGCGUCCUCCAGGCACUAACGAGCAAUAAUGCAUGUGGGAUACUCAUGUGAAUGAGUACAGGAUGAUAGGAGCAACAUCAAUCACUUUGCAAGCAUGAGGUACCAGCAUGAGGAGAAAAGCAAGCAUGCUAAGGAUGGCAGAAAGGAAAAAAAGGAUGACCGUAGGUGCUGGAUCACGCCACGGAGCUACUGUUCCAUCCUGUGAGAGCCUCCUUUGUAUAGUUUAUUUAAUACCUUUAUGGCUGGCCACGGCUCCUCUUCUGGUGGAUGGCAAAACUGUGCCCCCAACCAACCUGUCUCCCUCAGCGCCAGCAUCCCUCAGUCAACGAUUUGCCAUGUGGUCCCUAUCUUCUGGAAACGUGCACGUUGCACGUUCAUUUCAACAGCGAACAAUGAAGAAAUUACAAUUGUUUCCAUUCACGCGUCGCUUGAUGAGGGUCGCGGGAUAAUGGCAGCAGUGCAUGGAAAUCUAAAACUUCGCUGUUCCAGGGAAAGCUCCUACACAUGGAUAACUACAUCCUGAUUCAGAGGGUUUGCAGAAUAA
Mirounga angustirostris (Northern elephant seal) is the source of this 641-nucleotide long non-coding RNA. RefSeq lists it as uncharacterized. The record is from RefSeq and is a predicted model, not a curated record. The transcript is spliced from 3 exons. Lineage: Eukaryota; Metazoa; Chordata; Mammalia; Carnivora; Phocidae.